This is a long non-coding RNA of Acyrthosiphon pisum (pea aphid), 301 nucleotides long. RefSeq lists it as uncharacterized. NCBI's taxonomy places the organism in Eukaryota, Metazoa, Arthropoda, Insecta, Hemiptera, Aphididae. The record is from RefSeq and is a predicted model, not a curated record. The transcript is spliced from 2 exons.
CCCGAUAACGUAUCCAAUUUUUGAAUCAAUAAUAAUCACCGUCGUUCUCUCUUUUUGAAAUUUACCCAAUCCGGUUUCGUUUUUUAAAACGCAAUAGGUACCUAGCUGUCGUUAUUAUUAAAUUUGGUCUAGCGGUGUAUCGUUCCAUUUUUUCUGUAACUCGUUCAAGUCAUUGGAGGAAGUGUUUUUCAGCCAAAAUAGUUUUAUUUCACCUGAUCAAUUAUGUCUGAAGGCGACGCUGGACCGGAUAGUGAAACUAGACCGAAAGGUGUUGAAGCGCUUAAACAACAUGUUAUCACGC